UAUUCUUACCAUAUUUUCUUACUUUUAUAUUAAAAUUCAAUAAAAUUAAUAAAAGAAACAAAAGUUUAUAAUGCAUGUAACUGUGAACAUAAGAAAUAUAGUUCAUAUAGUGUGGCGGAAGGUAUUACAAAAAGGAGGAGAAAGUCAAUAAAAGGAAGGAAUUUAAUUUUCAUACAAUAGCUGUUAAUUUAAUUUGACUGCAUCUCAUAUUUCUCAUACAAAAAUAACAAGUAAUGUUUUCAUAUAGUUCCUGUUUUCCUUCUGUUAUAAAACUGUUUAUUUACUUUAGUCAUCUCAUUUCAAAAGGAUCUGGAGAUUGAUCAUUUAAACACCCUCUGUGAAUGAUCAUGAUUUUAAACAUGUUGGAUUUAAAGCAUGGCAACACUGUGGGCAAGCAUUUCACAUUAUAUCAUAAAACGUCUUUGCCAACUUCAACAAAAUUUGGCAGAAAUGUUGUUAUUGAACUGUUCUCUAGAUGCGAUUGCCAAAUCAUAGAUGAAGAACGCAACCACCAGAGGCAUAUUUAAGUUCUAAUUGAUAAAUUGAAAAUUAUAAUAGAUGAAGAUGAAGAUUUUGACCAUCAGAUGCAUUCAGUUAUUAUAAUAGAUGAUACAGUUUUAAUACUUCUUGAUGCAGAACCCGACUACAAAAGACAAUUUUUAAUUCGAUUAGAUGAUGACUACGAGAGGCAAUCUUUUAUUCUAAGUUUUGGGGAAUUUUGGGAAUUCGGCUACCAAUAGCAAUAUUUGAUAUUAGUGCCCCCCCCCCCCCCCCUCCCGAAAAAGAUCCUUUGUAAAUAGGGUUAUCAAAGCUUGAUUAAGCGGAAGUCAUGUUCUGCUAUUUUAUUCUUUUAAUUUUACCGGAACAUUGAUUUAUAUUGUAUUUAUAUACCAUAUAUAAACUAUGCAGGCUCAUUUGGGUAUCCUUUUCUAAUUUUUGAUACGAGUGCACAUGCUUUUUUUCAUAGGAAUUAUAGAUAAC
This 981-nucleotide long non-coding RNA is filed under the name Mytilus galloprovincialis (Mediterranean mussel). Lineage: Eukaryota; Metazoa; Mollusca; Bivalvia; Mytilida; Mytilidae. The record is from RNAcentral.